AGAGGGAUAGCUGGGUCAAAUGGUGGUUCCAUUCCCAGAUUUCCAAGGAAUCUCCAUACUCCUUUAUAUAUUGGCUGCACCAAUUUGCAGUCCCACCAGCAAU
Molecule: microRNA precursor, 103 nt
Filed under: Marmota monax (woodchuck)
Lineage: Eukaryota; Metazoa; Chordata; Mammalia; Rodentia; Sciuridae
Source: RNAcentral